AGCGAACGCUGGCGGCAGGCUUAACACAUGCAAGUCGAGCGGAUGUAGCAAUACAUCAGCGGCAGACGGGUGAGUAACACGUGGGAACGUACCUUUGGUUCGGAACAACACAGGGAAACUUGUGCUAAUACCGGAUAAGCCCUUACGGGGAAAGAUUUAUCGCCGAAAGAUCGGCCCGCGUCUGAUUAGCUAGUUGGUGAGGUAACGGCUCACCAAGGCGACGAUCAGUAGCUGGUCUGAGAGGAUGAUCAGCCACAUUGGGACUGAGACACGGCCCAAACUCCUACGGGAGGCAGCAGUGGGGAAUAUUGGACAAUGGGCGCAAGCCUGAUCCAGCCAUGCCGCGUGAGUGAUGAAGGCCCUAGGGUUGUAAAGCUCUUUUGUGCGGGAAGAUAAUGACGGUACCGCAAGAAU
This 414-nucleotide ribosomal RNA is filed under the name uncultured bacterium. RNAcentral describes it as "bacterial SSU rRNA". It matches the Rfam family "Bacterial small subunit ribosomal RNA", at positions 29 to 487 of the family's 1533-position model. The record is from RNAcentral.